RNAcentral lists this transfer-messenger RNA (383 nucleotides) under Rhodospirillales bacterium. It matches the Rfam family "Alphaproteobacteria transfer-messenger RNA". From Rfam's summary of the family: Bacterial tmRNA, also known as 10Sa RNA or SsrA, is named for its dual tRNA and mRNA-like properties. Its role is to liberate the mRNA from a stalled ribosome. To accomplish this part of the tmRNA is used as a reading frame that ends in a translation stop signal. Lineage: Bacteria; Pseudomonadati; Pseudomonadota; Alphaproteobacteria; Rhodospirillales. The record is from RNAcentral.
CCCCUCGCAACCGGGCAAGUGCUGCGCUAUAUAAAGCCCGUCACCUCGGUGACUAUGGCGAUAAACGGUACGUGGAAUAAGCGUUGCGGACCCGGGGGCAGUGCCCGGCGUCUCCAUGUUAUGAAUGAGGUUUGUGCUGGUUCUGAAUGGCCGGGGCAUUCUGAAGGAGAGACUAGGGGCCCGCAGGGGGCUUUGGUCGCUCGGUUUGGGGACGAAACAGUCUCGACGCGCGCGGUAAAGACGUGCCUUUUGCCCGGCAUUGUACCGCCGUCAUCGGGCUAAAUCACAAGUGCCAAUGAUAACGUUCGCGAGAACGUGGCGCUCGCUGCCUAGAGAUAGGUAAGCGCUGCCCGGGGGGAGCAGGGCAACAGAAUCCCCCCACU